UACGUAGGGUGCAAGCGUUGUCCGGAAUUAUUGGGCGUAAAGAGCUCGUAGGCGGUCUGUCGCGUCUGCUGUGAAACUCAGGGCUUAACCCUGAGCUUGCAGUGGGUACGGGGCAGACUAGAGUGCGGUAGGGGAGACUGGAAUUCCUGGUGUAGCGGUGAAAUGCGCAGAUAGUCAGGAGGAACACCGGUGGCGGAAGGCGGGUCUCUGGGCCGUAACUGACGCUGGAGGAGCGGAAAGCAUGGGGAG
RNAcentral lists this ribosomal RNA (249 nucleotides) under uncultured bacterium. Its description in RNAcentral is "partial 16S ribosomal RNA". It matches the Rfam family "Bacterial small subunit ribosomal RNA", at positions 524 to 768 of the family's 1533-position model. The record is from RNAcentral.